UACGGGGGGGGCGAGCGUUGUUCGGAAUUACUGGGCGUAAAGCGCACGUAGGCGGACUUGUCAGUCAGAGGUGAAAUCCCGAAGCUUAACUUCGGAACUGCCUUUGAUACUGCAAGUCUUGAGGAUGAGAGAGGUAAGUGGAACUGCGAGUGUAGAGGUGAAAUUCGUAGAUAUUCGCAAGAACACCAGUGGCGAAGGCGGCUUACUGGCUCAUUUCUGACGCUGAGGUGCGAAAGCGUGGGGAGCAAACAGG
Molecule: unclassified non-coding RNA, 253 nt
Filed under: uncultured Alphaproteobacteria bacterium
Lineage: Bacteria; Pseudomonadati; Pseudomonadota; Alphaproteobacteria
Description: contains 16S-23S intergenic spacer region
Rfam family: Bacterial small subunit ribosomal RNA
Source: RNAcentral